GAUCAGUGAUGCAGAUGGAUGAGGACAUCAAGAAAAUGGGAAUAGACAGAAACACAUAGAAUGAAGCUUUUAAUCUUUCUGAACUCAUGAAUUAUGCUGGAGUCACAGUGCAUUGGUGGAAGGAAGUACCAGCUGCGAUGAGACAAGAUUGUCUGCUGGACUUUGGCAGAGGCAAUGGGUCCAUGGUCUGGACAAAGCUCUGAUAUGUAUCCAGAAAAUCAGUGCUUAAAAAGGAGCUACUUGCUGCGAAAAAUUUUGAUAGAAUUGGGGGAGGCUGUCACCGCCUGUUUUGAAGCUGCCUCAUCACAUCUCGAUGGCUAGUUUUGGACAUUUCCACACUUGAGACACGAGAGACAUAAAGAGCCUCUUGGAUCAACAAGUCUGUU
Molecule: long non-coding RNA, 386 nt
Organism: Talpa occidentalis (Iberian mole)
Lineage: Eukaryota; Metazoa; Chordata; Mammalia; Eulipotyphla; Talpidae
Exons: 4
Source: RefSeq, a predicted model, not a curated record